CGUGUCUGAAGAAGGCCUCGGUUGUAAGGACUUUGUCAGGGAGCAAAACUUACUGGUUAAUACCUGGUGAGGUUGAGAGUACCUGAAGAAUAAGCACCGGCUAACUACGUGCCAGCAGCCGCGGUAAUACGUAGGGUGCAAGCGUUAAUCGGAAUUACUGGGCGUAAAGCGUGCGCAGGCGGACUUUUAAGCCAGAUGUGAAAGCCCCGAGCUUAACUUGGGGAAUUGCGUUUUGGAACUGGGAGUCUAGAGUCUGUCAGAGGGGGAUGGAAUUCCACGUGUAGCAGUGAAAUGCGUAGAGAUGUGGAGGAACACCGAUGGCGAAGGCAGUCCCCUGGGAUAAGACUGACGCUCAUGCACGAAAGCGUGGGGAGCAAACAGGAUUAGAUACCCCUGGUAGUCCACGCCCUAAACGAUGUCUACUAGUUGUUGGGGUAGCAAUACCUCAGUGACGCAGCUAACGCGUGAAGUAGACCGCCUGGGGAGUACGGUCGGCAAGAUUAAAACUACAAAGGAAUUGAC
This 522-nucleotide ribosomal RNA is filed under the name uncultured bacterium. RNAcentral describes it as "bacterial SSU rRNA". It matches the Rfam family "Bacterial small subunit ribosomal RNA", at positions 400 to 914 of the family's 1533-position model. The record is from RNAcentral.